RNAcentral lists this long non-coding RNA (246 nucleotides) under Lathyrus oleraceus (garden pea). Its description in RNAcentral is "Pisum sativum (pea) long non-coding RNA (PSAT_LNC025617)". Lineage: Eukaryota; Viridiplantae; Streptophyta; Magnoliopsida; Fabales; Fabaceae. The record is from RNAcentral.
GUUUUGAAUUUAAAUUGAAUGAUUGAACAAAAAGUGCUUAGAAAUUUAAUGUAAUUAAGCUUGAUAUUGGGUGUAUUAAAUUGGGCUCGAAAUGGUUUGUGUGUGGUUGAAUAUUAGCCGCAUUACAUGUCGGUUGUACGCAUAGCAGGGUGAUUUAUGUGAGUUGUGGUUUAUAAUUGGAUGUAAUUAGAAUAGAAAUGUGAAUGUAUUAUGGUUUAUGGAAUUGAAAUGCUCAUAAUUAUGCUC